UACGGAGGGUGCGAGCGUUGUCCGGAAUCACUGGGCGUAAAGGGCGCGUAGGCGGCGCGAGCAGUCGGCGGUGAAAGCCCGGAGCUCAACUCCGGGUCGGCCGUCGAUACUCUCGUGCUUGAGCACUGUAGAGGCAGGUGGAAUUCCGGGUGUAGCGGUGGAAUGCGUAGAGAUCCGGAAGAACACCGGUGGCGAAGGCGGCCUGCUGGGCAGUAGCUGACGCUGAGGCGCGACAGCGUGGGGAGCAAACAGG
This 253-nucleotide ribosomal RNA is filed under the name uncultured bacterium. RNAcentral's name for it is "partial 16S ribosomal RNA". It matches the Rfam family "Bacterial small subunit ribosomal RNA", at positions 524 to 776 of the family's 1533-position model. The record is from RNAcentral.